GAUGAACGCUAGCGAUAGGCUUAACACAUGCAAGUCGAGGGGUAACAGGGUAGCAAUACUGCUGACGACCGGCGUACGGGUGAGUAACGCGUAUGUAAUCUGCCUGUAACAGGGGGAUAGCCCGAAGAAAUUCGGAUUAAUACCGCAUAAUACAAAAUCACCGCAUGGUGAUUUUGUUAAAAAUUUUAUUGGUUACGGAUGAGCGUGCGUAGGAUUAGUUAGUUGGUAAGGUAAUUGCUUACCAAGACAGCGAUCUUUAGGGGUUCUGAAAGGAAGGUCCCCCACACUGGUACUGAGAUACGGACCAGACUCCUACGGGAGGCAGCAGUGAGGAAUAUUGGUCAAUGGUCGAAAGACUGAACCAGCCAAAUCGCGUGAAGGAAGACGGUAUUAUGUAUUGUAAACUUCUUUUAUAUGGGAAUAAUAUAUAGGACGUGUCCUGUGUUUGAAUGUACCAUAUGAAUAAGCAUCGGCUAACUCCGUGCCAGCAGCCGCGGUAAUACGGAGGAUGCAAGCGUUAUCCGGAUUUAUUGGGUUUAAAGGGUGCGUAGGUGGUUUAGACAGUCAGUGGUGAAAUGUCAUUGCUUAACAAUGGAAUUGCCAUUGAAACUAUUAGACUUGAGAGUGGACGAGGUAUGCGGAAUUCGUAGUGUAGCGGUGAAAUGCAUAGAUAUUACGAAGAACUCCGAUAGCGUAGGCAGCAUACCAGGCCAUUUCUGACACUGAGGCACGAAAGUGUGGGUAUCAAACAGGAUUAGAUACCCUGGUAGUCCACACAGUAAACGAUGAAUACUGACUGUUUGCGAUAUAAUGUAAGCGGUUAAGCGAAAGCGUUAAGUAUUCCACCUGGGGAGUACGCCGGCAACGGUGAAACUCAAAGGAAUUGACGGGGACCCGCACAAGCGGAGGAACAUGUGGUUUAAUUCGAUGAUACGCGAGGAACCUUACCCGGGCUCGAACGGCUAUUGAAUGUAUGCGAAAGUGUGCAGGCCGAAAGGACAAUAGUCGAGGUGCUGCAUGGUUGUCGUCAGCUCGUGCCGUGAGGUGUCGGCUUAAGUGCCAUAACGAGCGCAACCCUUGCCGUUAGUUACUAACAAGUUAUGUUGAGGACUCUAGCGGGACUGCCGCUGUAAAGUGUGAGGAAGGUGAGGAUGACGUCAAAUCAGCACGGCCCUUACGUCCGGGGCGACACACGUGUUACAAUGGGCGGGACAAAAGGCAGCUACACAGCGAUGUGAUGCAAAUCUUCAAACCCGCUCUCAGUUCGGAUUGGAGUCUGCAACUCGACUCCAUGAAGUUGGAUUCGCUAGUAAUCGCGCAUCAGCCAUGGCGCGGUGAAUACGUUCCCGGGCCUU
This 1355-nucleotide ribosomal RNA is filed under the name uncultured bacterium. Its description in RNAcentral is "bacterial SSU rRNA". It matches the Rfam family "Bacterial small subunit ribosomal RNA", at positions 28 to 1382 of the family's 1533-position model. The record is from RNAcentral.